Molecule: ribosomal RNA, 492 nt
Filed under: uncultured bacterium
Lineage: Bacteria
Description: partial 16S ribosomal RNA
Rfam family: Bacterial small subunit ribosomal RNA
Source: RNAcentral
AGUGAACGCUGGCGGUAGGCUUAACACAUGCAAGUCGAACGGCAGCUCAGUAAGAGCUUGCUCUUACGGGUGGCGAGUGGUGGACGGGCGAGGGAUACAUCGGAAUCUACUUUUUCGUGGGGGUUAAUGUAGGGAAAAUUAAGCAAAUACCGCAUAUGCCCCAUGGGUGAAAGCAGGGGAUUUUCGGACCUUGAGAGACUGCAUGAGCCGAUGUCGGAUCCGCUAGUUGGCGGGGUAAAGGCCCACUAAGGCGACGCUCCGUAGCUGGUCCGAGGGGAUGGUCAGCCACACGGGAAGUGAGACACAGUCCAGACUCCGACGGGAGGCAACAGUGGGGAAUAUUAGACAAUGGGCGCAAGCCGGAUCCAGCCAUACCGCGUGGGUGAAGAAGGCCUUCGGGUUGUAAAGCCCUUUUGUUUGGAAAGAAGAGCAGCAGGUUAAUACCCCGCUAUUCUGACGGUACCCAAAGAAUAAGCACCGGCUAACUUCGUG